CGUCAUGACAUUGCAUCGAUGUGACCUGUUUGUGUUGGUCUUGAAUCUCCUUCACUCCUCGAGAAAGAUUAGUCGGGUGCGUCCAGACAUUGCUAGUGAGCAUGUGUGAGUGAGUGUCUUGCACGUGAAAGAAGUUGCCAGCUGUGGUUAAAAUAUCGUUUCCUGUUUGGGACGCGGGAUUCUCUUGUUGCAUUGAACCCUCGUGAUUGCAUGGACUGCUCGCGAUUGCCUUGAACGUUUGUACAACGCACACGUUGGAUACGCUCUAAACCCGUGGCCGUUGACUCUGGUGCCAUCGGGGCUCGCUCAUGUCGCUGGCGUAUUUUCAUUUGAUUUGAGUCUAUUCAUUGUUUGUGUAUUUGGUUUAAAUGUGUGUGUAACAGAGUGAAAUUGAAAUUUCGUUUUGUUACGCUGCUUUAUUGUAUUAUUAUUAUUAUUAUUAUUAUUAUUAUUAUUAUUAUUAUUAUUAUUAUUAUUAUUAGGUAUUGUUUAUUUACCAAUUUAUUUAGUUUGUUCCUUUCUUUAUUUGGGUUGGUUGUAUUCUUUCGUUGUCUCGAUUUACAUUUAUCCCGCUCUAUUUCGCAAUUGAGUAUUGUUUAUUUGUUCUGUUGCU
Long non-coding RNA from Triplophysa dalaica, 613 nucleotides. RefSeq lists it as uncharacterized. The transcript has 3 exons. The record is from RefSeq and is a predicted model, not a curated record. NCBI's taxonomy places the organism in Eukaryota, Metazoa, Chordata, Actinopteri, Cypriniformes, Nemacheilidae.